CCAGGUGAUUCAGCCUACUUACACAGCUUCUGCCUUUCCAGCUGGAUGUGGUCCUAGUGACUCAUCCCUGCUCUGGGGACCUGGGGUACUUCAAAAUUGAUGUGGCUUUUUAGGGGCUCUGAUUGCUGAGUCUGGUCUGGUAGGGUAGGACAUUUAGAACCUCACGGGGGAAGAAAGGGCCUUACCAAGGGGAAACACAAAGGUUAGGGCCACCCAGGGCAGCUAGAGCCCUAGCUGAGGUCUCCCCGUGCCGUAGUCUCCAGCCUGGGAGGCACGUUCUCUGGAAGCCCACGUACCAGGCUGGCUGUCCUGGGGCAGGACUUGCCCCACCCUCUACCUGAGCCAGCGGUUCCUGGCAUCUUUUGUGCCCCUUUACCCUGUGACUUAAGACCAUGAUGUUCUUCCUUACCACACCCAUGUGACAUGCAUGUGUCCCCUGGCUGAUGUGUCCAGACAGACCUGAUCCUUAGCUCUGCCCUGUCUCCUGCGUCAUUAUCUGAGAUCAGAGCUUCUGUCCACUGUGGGGUAGUCAAAUGUGGGGACAAACACGGAGGUGGCAGGACAGGUCCAGCCAUGGUCUCUCAUGCUGCCCGGUCUGCCCGUGUGAGCUGCAAGCACCACACCACCCAGCUGUGUGACCUCUCUCUAUGACUGUGGCCUGAACAAAACAUUGCUGACAUCAGACACACCAACUGUUUUCCUGUCCAGUCUCAUCUUUCCUAGUUGCUCCCUGGAAGCACACUGUCACCAGCAUGGCUGCAUGGCAUCUGUUGGAGGUAUGUGGCAGCCAUCACCUCACCUCACUACAGCUUACACCGGCCUGUGCUUUAUGUAAGCUAGUGCAUGAUGCUGACAGCCCGGUGGUGGAACCCACAGGAGUGGCCGACGCCUGUUGACUCAACUCUAUACACUGUCCUUACCCCCGGGCUUCCCCAGUGGCACCUGAGCACUGCCUUGGCCCAUCCUGAAAAACUCUCUCCUAGUGUCACAGCGAGAGUUGGGCCCUUGGUUCUUGUACCACCUUGAGAAAGAAUUCAAACAGCUCACGAAUAGUAGUCGCAGAAGCUAAACUGAGCUGCAUCCCCAGGUCCAGUGAAAUUUCACUGAAAGAAUGCAAAGCAGUCAAGACGGGAGUCAUGAGAGAGCUCUUUCCAUGUCCUAAACUUUGCCCUCCUGACCCCAAGGUGGAGUUCUGAAGUUGGAUAACUUCAAGAGCCAUGUGACUUACUGUCCAUUGCACAUGUCUCUGCCUAGAAGUGACCUGCAAAGUCCAUCGGGGUCAGAACGGCAAUGCCAAUGACAUAGUUUAGUGAGCUUUAGUCUCUGGAGCUGGGGUCUGGCUGGCUGAAUCUAGUUCUUUCCCUAGUGUAUGUAUCGGAGGCAGCUGAAGCAUCCUUACUCCGGAAGCUGCAAGUAUAAAAUGCUAUAUUCCCAGAAUCCUGAAUUUUAACCCCUUCUUUGUUUUGUUUUUCAAGACAGCGUUUCUCUGUAAAAUAGUCCUGUCUGUCCUGGAACUCACUCUGUAGACCAGGCUGGCCUCAAACUCACAGAGAUCCACCUGCCUCUACCUCCCAAGUGCUGGGUUUAAAGGCGUGCACCAUCACUGCCUGGCUUUUUAACUCCUUCUUGUCCAGUCUUGUCUAGCUAAUCACUAAUGUCACUGUGAUUAUGUACUUAAUGUCACUGUGCAUGGGGAAGGAACAGAGUUCUGAUCAUCUCCAGGUAUGGCCAGAGCCACUGGCCGUCAGUCUGUAGAUACCUGAAGAAGAGGUGCCUGUUCAGCGGGACAGCCACAGAAGGAAGCUGUCCACAGAUCUUGAGCUCUGCACGUUAGCAGUAAGAGCUGCUUGCGGUGUACAGGACAGCAGCCACUGGGGCGCCAGGGCAGUGGCCUGUGUCAGAUGUGGAACUGAAGAUCCCAUCAUGACAGACAUGCCUCUUGAUGCUGCACACCUGGUGGUACUCACUUUCCUGGGUGAACUUGGGUCUUGUAGGGCCAACUCAGACGGUGGCUAGGCAGAGCUCUCGAGGUCAGCUCCGUGCCAUCCUCCAAGAUCACGGUACUUCAACUCUGUGCCCAGCUGUUGCCUUCUAUAGCCUCUCUUUUGUGGAGCAUGAGGUCAGUGACCACUCCCACUCUUGGCUUGGAAUGCUGUUUGAUAAAGUUGCUGGUUGGCUGGUGAGUGUUGCCUAGACAUGUGGUGUCCUAUUAUACUGGCUUUUUUCUGUUGAGUGGUGACCUUAUAGCUCUGGUAUGGGAUGAAGCAGGUCAGCAGCCCCCAGGAUCGCAUGGGUCUUGUAAAUGGGGUAGAUGUUCGGCCACUGUGGACUCCUGCCCCAGAAGCAGGCUGCCCAGGAUAUGCUGAACACCCUGGAGGACAAAAACCAUGGAGCAGACCUCAAGGGUCCCUCUGGCCCUGAAUCGGGGUCUGCUUUACAUUUGUAGCAAGAGCUCUCUCCUGAGGAGGCAGCUGAGAACCCAUGAACGGAAAGAUUGCAGAGAAAGACAUGCGAGACACGAGCCUUCCUCAAGACUGCCUGAUGACACACAGACAUUUGUAAAGGAAGCCCAAUGCAGCCUGUGGCACAUUGCUGGGACAGUUCAGGAAGAUGACAGCUAGAGGUGGCCAAGGAAGGAUGCCCCAGGAUGAAGCCCCCGUGGAGGCCUUGCAGAGGAGAGCAGCCCUGCACCAGCCACAGAGAACAAAAGCAGGCAGUCUCGUCUGGUUUGGCUCCCCUGAGACCCACUGGAACGGAAGACAGAAACAGCUGUUGUUCUGGGGAGGGGGUGAUUUGAUUUGGGAGGAGGCAGGGAAGGAAGAAAAGUGAAUAAAAUGUACAAUAUGGAGACAGUCGCACCUGACUUGGUCCCACUGGGGACCUUAUGUACAGCUGUGAGGUUUGUCCUCCGCAUCCACCCUCCCAAGGACAGAUGGCAUUUGCCAUGAUCCCCAUCCUCAUUGGUUGAUGGCUGCCCUGGGUAUCAAACCUCUAUUCUUGUGACCUCCAUCCUGUGGCAGAGAAGAGCCAAGUGACUUAAGUGCUGGGCACCCACACACAGCAUUGAGUUGGAGUGGGCCGAGGUAGGUGGUAGGGCACGCAGAGAAUCCGCUACAGACACGGCAUCCUCGAGGCCCUCAGAGCACACUGUCCUUGAACUCGAGUGCAAGAUAUAAGAAAAUAUGUGGACAAGACACCACGUUCAGAACAGACACUGUGCCAGGUGGUGCCACUGUGAGUGACGAUAGCCGCUCAGGGAGUGAGGCACUUAAUAGGUGUCCCCUAAGUGGCUCGUAAGUGACAUGGAUGCAUGAGAAAUAGAGGCUCAGCUCCCCUAUACAGACUACAGAAAGCUGGGCUCACACAGAUCAGGCCCGCUAGAGGAGACCCACUGCAUCACAGAUGGGCAGAUCAAAGCUCCUAUUUCUCUGCUGGGAAACCCAGGCCCUAGGAAGAGAGGGAACUUGCCUGUCUGUCUUAGUAAUGCUGUCCUGGUCCCCACUGCUUGAUGCUUGUAAGAACGACAAUCUAUUAUAGUCCAGGGAACACAGAGGCUUCUCUUCUGGUCAAGUUAGAAUUGCAUGUACACAGCGCUGCGGCAGGUUUUGUAACUCCUAAAAAUGAUCAGGGUUCCUGAUCUCUCUAGGUGAUUAAGGGAAACAUUCCACAUGCUGUCCUGGCCCUGAAGGUGCCCUUGACCCAGGAUGCAAAGGUCAAGGCAGGAGGAGCCCAAGGGUUCAGCCACAGGAUGCUAGCACUGCAUUUCUAGUUCAAGUGAAGAAAACCAGAAUUCAGGCUGAGUCUGAGUUGUUUGUGCUGUCCUGCUGACUGGAUUCAACACCGAACAAGCCACAUAGGGAGAAGCAAUGACCAGGGGACCCAUUUCAAGAUAAGGAGGGGAUGAGAAGAGGUGGGAGGGAGGCAGAUGGCCCAGGGAUCUUCUAAUAGGUCAAGGGAUCAGGAAGUUGGGAGAGGCAGGAGUGGCUGAGGGAGAUGGAGCCCUCAGGGGUCUCUUUCAAAACUACCAGGGCUUUGGUGCUGAAAAGGCACAGGCCUGGCAUGUAAGGGUCCUUGGUCCUUGCUUGUGUUCAUACCAACUGCUCAAGGCACCAAUUGCUCAAGGCACCAGCUGACUGACACCUUUAGACACACUGGUUUCUGUCUUUUUUCUCAAGGCCUCACCGAAGAUCCCACAUGGCCCAGAUAAAGGACAAAAGAAAGCACUUCCCACUUCCCACUGGGUGUUUGGUCCCCACCUGCAUCCAGCUCAGGCUGGAGCUUGCAGACUCCAUUCUACAGACCCCCGCUGACUGCCACCCACCCUCCCCGUUAGCUAAGCUGGACAGUUUCUCUGUUCCUCACAGCAUUCCAUUCCACAUGCGCAUAAAUUAUCUUUUAAUUGAAAGUUUAUAAGCUCUUUAAUCUUGCUUAUUGUAGCUGAGAUGAUAUGUGUUUGUACAGUUUUAUUAAAUAAUGAAUGUCCUUGCCUCCCAAA
Molecule: long non-coding RNA, 4495 nt
Organism: Peromyscus californicus insignis
Lineage: Eukaryota; Metazoa; Chordata; Mammalia; Rodentia; Cricetidae
Exons: 2
Source: RefSeq, a predicted model, not a curated record